GUAGGUGAACCUGCGGAAGGAUCAUUAACACGUAUCCAACGUUAAACCCCCCUGUGAACUUUUAUCGUGCUCUUGCAGCCCGCGAGUAACAGCAAUCCUGGUAAAUCAGUCGCGAAAGUUGUUAUUGAUUCAGGACCUCUGUCUUGUGAGAAGUUAUAGUUGCAAUUGAGCGUUCGAGGCAAGUGGCUUGGUUUCCCAAACCAACUGGCGUCUGAAAGUGUCGCUGGUUGUCUAAGGAUAACGCUUUACG
RNAcentral lists this unclassified non-coding RNA (250 nucleotides) under plant metagenome. RNAcentral describes it as "partial contains small subunit ribosomal RNA, internal transcribed spacer 1, and 5.8S ribosomal RNA". The record is from RNAcentral.